UACAGAGGGUGCGAGCGUUGUCCGGAAUCACUGGGCGUAAAGGGCGCGUAGGUGGCGCGACAAGUCAGUGGUGAAAGUUCGACGCUCAACGUCGAAUCGGCCACUGAUACUGUUGGGCUUGAGCACUGUAGAGGCUAAUGGAAUUCCGGGUGUAGCGGUGGAAUGCGUAGAGAUCCGGAAGAACACCGGUGGCGAAGGCGGUUAGCCGGGCAGUUGCUGACACUGAGGCGCGACAGCGUGGGGAGCAAACAGG
Molecule: ribosomal RNA, 253 nt
Filed under: uncultured bacterium
Lineage: Bacteria
Description: partial 16S ribosomal RNA
Rfam family: Bacterial small subunit ribosomal RNA
Source: RNAcentral